CAUGGUGGAUGUCCCAGAAGCACUCUGUGACUUUGGCUCCAGUGUCAACAUUAUACCCAGGGUACUCUAUGAAAAAUUCUUUACAUAUCCUUUAUUAGAGACAACAAUGUGUUUGCAGUUUGCAGAUCAGACGAUAACUUUUCCAAAAGGAAUAGUGAGGAACCUUUGUGUCCGAGUUGGUACCUUGUAUGCACCAGCAGACUUCGUAGUGGUAGAGACCGGAAAUGAUGAGAGAGCACCUAUCAUCCUAGGGAGGCCAUUUUUGAACACCACGGGAGCUAUCAUCUACGCCAGUGCUGCUAAGAUCAGUUUCUACAUCAAAGGGAAGAAGGAGAUAUUUUUCUUCAAGAACAAGACUACACAAAUUCAAGAUCAAUCCAGACGUAAAUCAAGGAAGAGGACCAACAGGAGAAACAGGAACAAGCAAGUGUGGACCGAGUCAGCUAAGAUGGUCACUGUAGUCCAUGGAUGCCAAGAUCAUCAACUUAAGUCGCCGUUUUUGACCAAGAAAGAAAACCCAUGAAUGCCAAGCAUCUACUGCUCCAUAAAUGGAUAUAACUUCUACAAGACGAUUUGCGACACCGGAUCAGGCGUCAACAUAAUGGCCGCAGUCACCUAUCGGCUCUUGUUCGGAACCAUGCCACUAAGACCAACAUACAUUCAACUCCAGAUGGCAGAUCAGACAUUUCGAGAAGUUAAAGGAAUAGUAUCUGAUGUCCCAGUCAAAAUAGACGAUCACUUUGUCUACACAGACUUUCAAGUUGUUGACAUGGGAGAAGAUGAAUAUGAUCCACCCAUCAUCCUUGGAAGACCGUUCCUCAGCACCGUUAAAGCAAUUAUCUAUAUUGGAACCGGAGAAGUCCAUAUGCACUUCCCCUCAGAGAAGGUACGCCGUUAUUUUACUGACCCUGACUAUAUCGUUGAAGAAUCUAAGCAGGUCAGAAAGAGACGCAGCCGCAACCAGAGGAGGCAGAUCAUCAAGGACGGAUGGGCAGACUAUGAAGGAGAAGUUGUAAGGUCAGAAGACGUAGAGUUUAAACAGAAUUAUCCAGAGGAGAUUGAAGCACCGAGUCAGGUAUGGAAAAUGAAGAUAACUAUACAAGAAGAGGAGGCGCUGCCGGAAGUACCGACUAUGCCACCCAACGAACCUCAGGACGAUUAAGAAAUUGGAGAGUCCCGUUCAGAGGACUUAAAAACACCGAACGCCUUGCCAAGAGGUAAACUUGGUAGUUAUCCUUUCCCUUUCAAUUAUUUUAAAUAGUUUACUUAGUUAAUCAUAUUCAUACUAUCUUAAAAAUAAAAGAAAAUAAAAAUGUGAAAAACAGUAAGCCCCAUGUGAGUAGACAAGUGGCAUAAAACCCAUAAGUACAUUCACUGUGGUGGCAUAAAAAUAAAAUAAAUAUUUUUCUGCUUUAUAAAAAUAAAAAUAAAAAUAUAAAAACAGGGAGUAAUAUUUAUUAAGGAGUCUCAAGAUGAUGAAGGCUAUAUAUUUAUGCUAACACUUAAUCAGUUCCACAAGCUUUGUUGUCUAUUUGAGCUCCACAGAAUUCAAGAAGACUAGCAGACGGAGGACAUUCUAAUCGCUGUCAGAAUGCUGCUGACUUUCAACUACACCUCUGCCACCUGCUAGCUAUAUCAAGAGAAAUUACGUCAAAAUUCAGCUUGGGGGAGAGCACCCCCAUUUAUUCCGAUAAGUAUUUUUAUCUAUCUUUAUACUUAUAUUAUUUUAGAAUAUUAAUACACAUAAACUAUGGGAAAACCAAAUAAAGAUUUUAUGCUUAUAUAUAUAUUACUUAGUGUGUUUAAUUAAUAAAUAAAGUGGCUAUGCUAAUCUGUAUCUAAUAAAACUUAAGCAUGGAUAUGAUGAAUAGUUGCUCUGCCUAAUUUGCACAUUUUAAGUUCUCUCUCAAGUUUAGACAUAACUGUUAUAAUUUAAAGCUUGCCCUAGACCUAAACUUGUGGGAUGAAAACUUGAUCUGAAGUCUAAGUUGUUAACGGAUACGAUAUGGAAAGACUGAGCUGCUGUUUAUCUGUUCCUAGAGAUGCUAGAAUUCUAGAGAAUUUUAUCUUUGAAAAUCUUUAAAAUGUUGCAUGAUGAGUUCCUGUAUGAUGAGAGUUUAAAUUCCUACCACAGCCAUAUAUAUAUGCUUGCUAGACCUUGAGCCACGCAUUUACUAUUUACUGCUUAUGAGCAUUGAGUAUGGUCAAGCUGUGUAGACCCUUAGGAACUUGUCAUGUGGUUAAAUCAAGAUUUCACUUGCACGUUCACUCAUAUAUGCUACUUCUACUCCGGAAGUACCAUCCACAUAUAUCCACCCAUUCCAUCUCCAGAACCACCUAAAAAUAUUCUACUCCUAAUCCGGGAGAGAAUAACCAAAAAUAUUUCUGUUUUCCCUUGUGAAAUAAAUGCUCAAGUUAUCUUGGUACUACCACUUGCUAUAUUAUCUCAAGAGAUGAGUGCUCUAAAAAAAAAGAAGAAGAAGAAAAUAAUACGAGGAAAUAAAAAGGAGCAAGUGCUCGGAACCUCGAAAGAAAAGAAAAAGUGAGACGAGAGGUAAAAAUGGACAAGUGUCCGACAGUAGAAUUAGGGGUGCAAGAUACCCACCUGAGAGAAAAGAAAAAGAAGAGCAUCUCAUUCUCCUCAUAAAGUUUCAAAAGCAAGGAAGGUAUGUAUCCCCUCAAAAGAGCAAAGUAGAAUUAGACUUUCACCACCAUUGUUUUCACCAUUCUUUUCACCAUUGUUUUCACCAUUGUUAUCACUAUCACCACCAUACAUCAUUCAUUCGCCACACAUGCACAUCUUGAUUUGGCUUAUUGAUUUGUUUCUUUGGAUCCACGGUUUGACUAUGCAAUAAAUGUCUUGUAAGUAUGUAUAUUUUAUCUCCCACCUAUGAGCUCCAGAUAUUAAAGCCUUAUUAGAGUAGGAUGAGAGAGAAGGCAAUGUCACUAUGCCUCAUACCACAAAUACCACAUAUCUUGAGAGAAGGCAUAUACCAUCAAUGCCUUGGUAAGGAUCCAAAAAUACCACAAAAGAGAGACCUGAGAGAAUCAUACAAGGAAUUCUGAGUUUUAUUUGAAAAUCUGCAAAAACCCCAGAGCUAUAGCUGAUCAAGAAUAAGAGACAUGGCACUUAGCUAGACUGUUCUAUCUUUUAACCACUCAAGACAGAAGUGACAGUUACAAGUCCCAUGGUGAAGGUAAAGUAAGUAAGUUUUAAGUCUUGACAGUUUACUCUUACUCAGAGAUGAGAUCUUAUUUAAAAGCAUGUGUACCGUCAAAUUUUUAAAGAUAUUGCAACUACUUAUGAUCCAUAGCUGAGUCUAUCCUUGCUCAGGGACAAGCAAGAGGUAAGCUUGGGGGAGUUUGUUGACGGUCCUUAAGUAUCAAAUUUAAUUAUCAAAUAAAUAAAGAAAAGGAUCCAAAUGAAAUCAAGAUCUGCAGGGAGUUAUCAGGAAAUAUGGAAGAAAGGCCCACAUGUCAGGAUUACGUAAAGAUAUUAACGUGCUGCGCAAUUAUCUUACAUCUAGAAGACUCCAGAAGCCACGAGACCGAAGCGGAGGCGAAACGGGGCCAGACCCUGGGCGGCCGCCCAGUUGGUCAGGGCGCCCGCGCACCUCUGGAGUCCAAUCAGGACUCUGCUUUGCGGGAAGUCUCCACCGACCUAAAGGAUGAAUCUAAACCAUACAAUCUAUGUCGGUUUGAUCCAAGGGCCCAUAUUCACUUGAAGGGACUAUAAAACCAGACCCCCUGGCCCCUGGAGGAGAGAGUCUCUCAACCCUAAUUCAUUGUUCCAUCAAGGGAGAAGAAGCCUCUGAUCAAGAUUAGAGCCACCACAUCAAUUAGAUAUCUAGAUUAGCAUAGCUACAUAGGAUUAGAACUAGAAGGAGUCAAUCUUCGAUUGGUUUCCGGAUCUGUUAGGAGGAUUCUUGGUAAUUCUCUAAUUGUGCUUCUAAUUGCUUUCUAAUUAUCUUUGUUCUUCAAUAUUAUGAAUAUGACUUUGUUCUACUUCAAUAUAUUGCUUAUGACUUUGCUCUACUUGCUUAUAUUCAAGAUUAUAUUGUUCUUAGUUUAUCAUAGUUAUGUACUUGGCUUAGUUAGAUACGAUCUAUAUACAUGCUUAGGAUCGUAUAGCGUUUAUCCAUCGGAUCCAUGGGUAAAUGAUAGAUAUUGUGUAGGCGUGGUGCUUAUACCGUAUUUAUCUGCGAUUGUGCCCAAUAUGCCAGAUCGUGGGGUAGUUCGUGAUAGUGACAGCUUCAUUGAUUCUUAUAUAGUCCCCCUCUCGUGUAUUGGGCUGGCAGAGCAACAUUAUUACAGGGGAGUGAUUGCUAUGUUUCUCAUAUUCCUUGCUAAUAUCACUAUGCAUGGGCGUAGUCUUGUCUCGCAAUGAUUGCUAAGUAUGCUUGCACUAACUAUGAUAUGCUAGACUAUAUAGUUGAGAAUAACUUAGGGAAUAUUCUUGUAGUUCGUUCUAAUACCAUGCUAAUGACUUUCUAGAGUAUCUAAUUGAGGUGUUUAUCAUAUUUAUUAUGUGGCUAGAUCAGAUUAGUUAUCCUUGUCACUAUUAUCAUUUCAUAUAUCUAUUAUGUGACACUUAUCCCUGUAUGAAGAGUUAGAUAUAAUGUUCUCCAUUAUACAUGCAAUGAUAGAUGCUCAAUCUCAUAUUCUAUUCUGUAAUCAAUAGUGAUGAUUGACUAAUCCCUUCCCAGUGGUAAAAAUAUAAAUAACGAUACCUGGAAUACUUCCCGGUUAAAAUGCUGCAUCGGUAUUAAUCUGUGCGCUUGCAGAUCCCAUUCAUUAUUUAUUUAGAAGAGCAAUUGCAUAUUUCAAUACCGCGUCUCUUAUAUCAUGCUGGGGAUGACAACUUGGCUUAAGUGGUGUGAGGGAUAGGUUUGGCAUUUUUGGCACCGUUGCUAGAUUUAGAACUUAGUCUACUUUUAGUAAUGAUGUUAAGAAUACCCAACAGUCGGUACAAUCCUAAACUCUGAAACUAGUGGACUGGUCGACCAGUCCCCGAGCGUAUAAUGCUCAGAUUGGUCGGUGCAGUCCCUAGGUCUCCAAACUGGUAGACUAGCCGACCAGUCCCCGAGCGUAUAGUGUUCGGUGGUCGGUGCAGUCCAAGAGAAACUCUGAAUAUUCAGAUUGGAGACGAAGAUAACAUUAAUGAGCAUGGAAUUUAUUUCAUAGCAACUUUGUUUACUCCAUGCUCAUAUGCAACAUCUUCCCAAUCUAUUGGUCUCUCCAACAUCACCACAUUUGAGAUCUCCAACCCCCUCUUCCUUUCUAUUUAUAAAAACUUUAAAAGGGCGGUUGUCGAUGGAUAUGUCUAUAAUAAAUAUUGCAGAUCUCGUUUAGUUGAUCUUGAUUUAGGUCAGCGUUGGAAGGGAAACCACUUCGCCAACAUAAAUUGAUGGUUUCCCAAGGACAAGCUUGGUGUCCUAAAAUAAGCACUGAUCAGAUCGUAACAUGAGUUUUUAAUUAUUUGCAACAUUACCUUGUGUAUUGAGCAUAUAAGGAUAAUUGUAAAAAUAUUCCUUCGGGUAUUCUUGUCACUAACCUUUCUAGGAUUGGAGCAAGAAGAUCGGAUGAAUGACAAGCACAAGGUAUGUCCAACCGAUCAUCAUACAACAUUGAAUUAAAUUCAGCCAAACUUAAAUUCUACAAAAUUCAAGCUUGGGGGAGUACUUUACAUAAAAACAUUCUUUGCCAUGUUGCUAUGUUGGUUGUCCCUACCUUUAAGACAUGCUCAAUUUGUCAAAUACUAAUCACACUACUUCAUCUCCACUUGAGUAGAUCUCUAUAAAUGCUGUCAUGUUACCUUUGUCUAUUUACUAGUAAGUGUUAGUUUGGAAGUACUGCACAUACUUCUAUUGGCUUUUAAAUUAAGCAUGGUGCUUAGGUUAAACAGCCUUCGUUAAUCUGAUUAGACAUGGAGUCUAGUUCGGUUAUUGAACUAAAAACUGCUUGUGUAGACAUUGGUAUAUUUUUGUCGGACUAACCCCUGCAGAAAAAAACUUUUAAUAUCGAUUUGGGAAGUCCUGAGAUAAACUCACAUCACAGACGAAGAGAGUAACACAUGAAGUUUAACAAUUUGCACAAGAAGGACAUAGCUCAUUCAUCAUAGAGAGAUGAUCCAUGGAGGGUGCCACAAACACGAUGCACAACCGCUAAGAAAGGAAAGCUUCCACAAGGUGAUACCGUACCAUCACUCUUCAAGCAAGGUAACAUCUUAAGGUACUUGACUAUCACUUUUAUAAGCUUCUCCUUGGUUCUAGCGUUCAUAUAAAUAAAAGAGACAAACAUGUAUGAUUUACAACUCUAGAUUAACCAACCCAACUGAUUCAACAUGUUUAGUCCUUUAAUCCUUGUUCUUAGUACUACCUCCAUGAUCCCACACUCCUAAUCAUAUAAGCUAAAAUGUUACACAUUCAAUCUUUGAGAGAUAUAAAGAAAAAGACAUAUACAUAGAUAGAUUAUCUUUCCAUAAGGUUGAGCGAUCUGAUCUCACAAAUGUUAUAAGUGCUACACUCAUGAACUUUUCAUCCAUCAACUUUGUCUUGCUCACUAUGCUUAGGGUUAGAGAAGAACAAAUACACUUUAGGUUCUGUUGGUGUUUUCCACCAACAGGACCCAUGCACUUGAUCUCUGCCUUGUCUCUAUGAGCAGGUACACUUUGAGCAAAACACGGAGGAGUUUUAUAACUCUCAGACUCUACCAAGUGAAGGACCUGGAUCUACGACCACAAACACACUGAGCAGGUUACUGCCAACGCCGCACUUCGAACUGCUGGGCAAACAAAGAACAUGGGUGACACCGUAUCAAGAGGUGCAGACGUCAAGGUCAGCACCUGAAUCAAAUGACGCACCUGAAGAAUGAACACGGUAAGAAGUCUUGUUAAGAAGACUUAAAACAUUGAACCCUCGCCGAAAGGUAAGAUCAGUAGUUAUCCAUAUUUAUCCUUUCUGCAUUCCCUUUUCCCUUUAAUUAUUUACUUUCCUUAAAUAGAUUAUUAGUUAAUCAUGCUAUCUUGAAAAGAAAAUAAAAAUGUUAAAAAAUACUAAGCCCCAUGUGUGUAUACGAGUGACAUAAAACCCAUAAGUACCUUCACUGUGGUGGCAUAAAAAUAAAAUAAAUAUUUCUUUUCUGCUUUAUAAAAUAAAAAUAUAAAAACAAAGAGUAAUAUUUAUUGAGGAAGCUCAACAUGAUGAAGGCUAGAUAUUUAUGCUAACACUUAAUUAGUUCCACAAGCUUUGUUGUCUAUUUGAGCUCCACAGAAUUUAAGAAUCAAGAAGACUAGCAGACGGAGGACAUUCUAAUCGCUGUCAAAAUGCUGCUGACUUUCAAAUACACCUCUGUCACCUGCUAGCUACAUCAAGAGAAAUUACGUCAAAAUUCAGCUUGGGGGAGAGCACCCCCAUUUAUCUCGCUAAGUAUUUCUACCUAUCUUUAUACUUAUAUUAUAUUAGAAUAUUAAAAUACAUAAACUAUGAAAAACCAAAUAAAGAUUUUGUGCUUAUAUAUAUCUUUUGCUUAGUGUGUUUAAUAAAUAAAGUGGCUAUGCUAAUCUGAAUCUUAAUAAUAAAACUAGCAUGGAUAUGAUGAAUAGUUGCUCUGCCUAAUUUGCAAAUUUGAAGUUCUCUCUCAAGUUUAGACAUAACUGUUAUAAUUUAAAGCUUGCUCUAGAUCUAAACUUGUGGGAUGAAACCUUGACCUGAAAUCUAAGUUGUUAACGGAUAUGAUAUGGGAAGGCUGAGCUGUUAUUUAUCUGUUCCUAGAGAUGCUAGAAUUCUGGAGAAUUUUAUCUUUGAAAAAUCUUUAAAAUAUUGCAUGAUGAGUUCCUGUAUGAUGAAAGUUUAAAUUCCUACCACAGCCAUAUAUACAUGCUUGCUAGACUUUGAGCCACACAUUUAUUAUUUACUGCUUAUGAGCAUUGAGUGUGGUCAAGCUGUGUAGACCCUUAGGAGCUUGUCAUGUGGUUAAAUCAAGAUUCACUUGCACGUUCACUCAUAUAUGCUACUUCUACUCCGGAAGUACCAUCCACAUAUAUCCAUCCAUGUCCAUCUCCAGAACCACACAAAAAUAUUCUACUCCUAAUCCGGGAGAGAAUAGCCAAAAAUAUUUCUGUUUUCCCUUGUGAAAUAAAUGCUCAAGUUAUCUUGCUACUACCACUUGCUAUAUUAUCGCAAGAGAUGAGUUCUCUGAAAAAAAGAAAAAAAAUAAAAAAAUAUACGAGGAAAUAAAAAGGGGCAAGUGCCCGGAACCUCGAAAGAAAGAAAAAGUGAGACGAGAGGUAAAAAUGGACAAGUGUCCGACAGUAGAAUUAGGGGCACAGGAUACCCACCUGAGAGGAAAGAAAAAAAAUGAAAGAUAGAGCAUCUCAUUCUCCUCAUAAAGUUUCAAAAAGCAAGGAAGGUAUGUAUCCCCUCAAAAGAGCAAAAGUAGAAUUAGACUUUCACCAUUGUUAUCACCAUCAUCACCAUACACCAUUCAUUCGCCACACGUGCACAUCUUGAUUUGGCUUAUUGAUUUGUUUCUUUGGAUCCAUGGUUUGACUAUACAAUAAAUGUCUUGUAAGUAUGUAUACUUUAUCUCUCACCUAUGAGCUCCAGAUAUUCAAGCCUUAUUAGAGUAGGGUGAGAGAGAAGGCAAUAUCACUAUGCCUUAUACCACAAAUACCACAUAUCUUGAGAGAAGGCAUAUACCAUCACUACCUUGGUAAGGAUCCAGAAAUACCACAAAAGAGAGAUUUAGAGUCAUACAAGGAAUCUCUGAGUUUUAUUUGAAAAUCUGCAAAAACUUCAGAGCUAUAGCUGACCAAGAAUAAGAGACAUGGCACUUGGCUAGACUGUUCUAUCUUUUAACUACUCAAGACAGAAGUGACGGUUACAAGUCCCAUGGUGAAAGGUAAAGUAGGUAAGUUUUAGUUCUUGACAGUUUACUCUAACUCAGAGAUAAGAUCUUAUUUAAAAGCAUGUGUACCGUCAAAUUUUUAAAGAUAUUGCAACAACUUCUGAUCCAUUGCUGAGUCUAUCCUUGCUCAGGGACGAGCAAGAGGUAAGCUUGGGUGAGUUCGUUGACGGUCCUUAAGUAUCAAAUUUAAUUAUCAAAUAAACAAAGAAAAGGAUCUAAAUGAAAUCAACAUCUAGACUUAGGGUUUUAUCUAACAGAAUUCCAUGAGUUUUAGUGUUUGUCUAUUUCUGCAGGGGGUUAUCAGGAAAUACGGAAGAAAGGCCCACACGUCGGGAUUACAUAGAGAUAUUAACGUGCAGCGCAAUUAUCUUACAUCUAGAAGACUCCAGAAGCCACGGGAAGGAAGCGGAGGCCGAACAGGGCCAGAGGCAGGGCGCCCGCCCUGACUUGGAGCCCAAUCAGGAAUCUUUCUCUCGGGAGAUCUCCACCGACCUAAAGCAUCAAGAAUAACCGUUCAAUCAAUGUCGGUUUGAUCCGACGGCCCAGGUUCAUUUGAGGGGACUAUAUAACCAGACCCCCUGGCCCCUGGAGGAGGCACCCCUUGAUCAUUAUUCAUUAUUCAUAAACAGAGCAAAAGCUAGGGUUUAGAGAUGAGAGCUCUCCUCUCUUCUCUAAACUAGAGUUGAUCUAGAUAGUAGCAAGAUGGAGAGCGA
This 9620-nucleotide long non-coding RNA is filed under the name Sorghum bicolor (sorghum). RNAcentral describes it as "long non-coding RNA (SBIC_LNC002811)". Lineage: Eukaryota; Viridiplantae; Streptophyta; Magnoliopsida; Poales; Poaceae. The record is from RNAcentral.